CCAAUGCAAAAAUUUUGUCCUUCGCUCCACCCAUGAACACGAAUAAACCACACGAGUUAUGAUGACUUAUUUGAUAAGGUGAAUUAAACAUUAAAAAAUCACAAGAUACAAGUUAUUCCUGUAAUUCAGAAGUCAAUGUCUGAAAUAAUAAAACGGGAUAAACCACUUAUCCCGGGCCAAUUCUAGCACGUCCCAAAAGAUUUACUUUAGCGGACUCAAUUUAAUAAAAAAGGAACCAAUAAUAUGAGUAAAAAAUAAAUAAUACUAUCUAGCAGAAGUGAUUUUAGAGCAUUAGUUCCUGAUAAAAUUAUUUGAUUUAUUUAAUUGAAUCUUUAAUUUAAUGCCAAUAGUGACGUCACUAAAAUUGAUACUAAACACAUAUGGUGUUAAAUAACAUUACUCUGAAAAAAUUACAACUUCUUAGCACUUAUCAAAUUCCUAAUAAUAGUAUAAUUAUACCACUGUACUGAAUAAAUGGAAUAUAUAAUACUGACAUGCAUAGAUAUCUGUGUGUGUAUAAAUAUCUGGUGAGAGAACGUGAGAGAGAUAAAAUUUGGCAUAGAAAUUGAGUCCUCGUUUGUCUCUUAUUUUUGGAAGAAUAAGAAUGAAAAAUAUAGUGAUUACAGGUCCCACAUAAGAAAUAGAAAUUUAAAUUUGGUGGCUUGAUGUGAUAGAUAACGUUCAUAUUUUACAUUUUAAUAAGGAAUGAAUGGGAACCAAACAAGGGCUGAAAAUGAUAAUUCCAAGUUUGAUGAUG
Molecule: long non-coding RNA, 757 nt
Filed under: Olea europaea subsp. europaea
Lineage: Eukaryota; Viridiplantae; Streptophyta; Magnoliopsida; Lamiales; Oleaceae
Source: RNAcentral